This 540-nucleotide ribosomal RNA is filed under the name Salinicola zeshunii. RNAcentral describes it as "bacterial SSU rRNA". It matches the Rfam family "Bacterial small subunit ribosomal RNA", at positions 88 to 623 of the family's 1533-position model. The record is from RNAcentral. Lineage: Bacteria; Pseudomonadati; Pseudomonadota; Gammaproteobacteria; Oceanospirillales; Halomonadaceae.
GUGGCGAGCGGCGGACGGGUGAGUAAUGCAUAGGAAUCUGCCCGGUAGUGGGGGAUAACGUGGGGAAACCCACGCUAAUACCGCAUACGUCCUACGGGAGAAAGCGGAGGAUCUUCGGACUUCGCGCUAUCGGAUGAGCCUAUGUCGGAUUAGCUAGUUGGUAAGGUAACGGCUUACCAAGGCGACGAUCCGUAGCUGGUCUGAGAGGAUGAUCAGCCACACUGGGACUGAGACACGGCCCAGACUCCUACGGGAGGCAGCAGUGGGGAAUAUUGGACAAUGGGCGAAAGCCUGAUCCAGCCAUGCCGCGUGUGUGAAGAAGGCUUUCGGGUUGUAAAGCACUUUCAGCGAGGAAGAAAGCCUGGUGGUUAAUACCCAUCAGGAAGGACAUCACUCGCAGAAGAAGCACCGGCUAACUCCGUGCCAGCAGCCGCGGUAAUACGGAGGGUGCGAGCGUUAAUCGGAAUUACUGGGCGCAAAGCGCGCGUAGGUGGCUUGGCACGCCCGUUGUUAAAUUCCCGGGCUCCAACCUGUGAACGG